Molecule: long non-coding RNA, 454 nt
Organism: Pipra filicauda (Wire-tailed manakin)
Lineage: Eukaryota; Metazoa; Chordata; Aves; Passeriformes; Pipridae
Exons: 4
Source: RefSeq, a predicted model, not a curated record
UUUUGAACAUAAUAUCUACAUGAAUACAUACUGAAUAAACACAGGUCUGUGACAUGCAAACACAAGCGAGAAGGAACGAGUUGUGAAAAAAAGCAUUCCUGACAGAGUAAGAGAAGCAACAGAAGUGCAAGGAAAGAUUGAAGAAGCCAACAAAAGCUGCAUAAGAAAACCUUCUAGAUCUGUGGGAUGUGCACAGACAGAGGAAGCAGAUCUUCUCUCUCAAGGGCUAUGUACACUGUGCAAAGCCCAAACUGCAAGCCAGAGGAUCUAGGAGAACUGAAUGAAUUUGAGAAGAAGUAACUGAUGAAGUUGAGCAGGCAUGGGUAAAAGGGUUCUCCAUAUUGUCCCCUCACAAGAAGGAGCCCCCCUUACAAGAAGGACUACCGAGAUACUGGACCACAUAUGGGGCAAUGAAGCUGGUGAAGGAUCUGGAGCACAAGUCUUCUGAGGAAUG